UGUGAUCUCACAUGAUCCCCCUAAAGCAA
Molecule: non-coding RNA, 29 nt
Filed under: Mus musculus (house mouse)
Lineage: Eukaryota; Metazoa; Chordata; Mammalia; Rodentia; Muridae
Source: RNAcentral